UUUGGGUAAUGGAGGCUUUGCUAGGUAUGUUAUUGAUUUUGCCCACCUCCACUUCUAACUAUUUGAAGGAGGGGGAAUGCACCAUGUUAAGUUGGGAUUGCGUCGUCUUCUGGAUUUUGGUGCAUGUUAAUGAAUUAGGCAAGUGUCUUAUGGGUUCAUCUUAUCACGAGAGAUAUGAAAAGCUGGUGGUGUGGGGAUAUUAGCUGUCACCGAUAUCGUAUGGACUAAAUGACAGCCACUGCAAUCAAUUUCUUGGAAGAAGUUGGAGACAUAUUCCUAACAACUCAACAGAACCUUUAGGAGUAAUGGUCUUGAAGUCUUGAGGACUGUUCCCGGAACGUUGGUA
This is a long non-coding RNA of Rosa rugosa (rugosa rose), 346 nucleotides long. RefSeq lists it as uncharacterized. The record is from RefSeq and is a predicted model, not a curated record. Lineage: Eukaryota; Viridiplantae; Streptophyta; Magnoliopsida; Rosales; Rosaceae. The transcript has 3 exons.